GACGGAGGGAGCAAGCGUUGUUCGGAUUUACUGGGCGUAAAGGGCGUCUAGGCGGGCCAGUUAGUCAGGUGUGAAAUCCCCCGGCUCAACCGGGGAGCUGCACUUGAUACUGCUGGUCUUGAGUACGGAAGAGGGAGGCGGAAUUCCUGGUGUAGCGGUGAAAUGCGUAGAUAUCAGGAAGAACACCGGUGGCGAAGGCGGCCUCCUGGUCCGAUACUGACGCUAAAGCGCGAAAGUGUGGGGAGCAAACAGG
Molecule: ribosomal RNA, 253 nt
Filed under: uncultured bacterium
Lineage: Bacteria
Description: partial 16S ribosomal RNA
Rfam family: Bacterial small subunit ribosomal RNA
Source: RNAcentral